Long non-coding RNA from Xiphophorus maculatus (southern platyfish), 3999 nucleotides. RefSeq lists it as uncharacterized. The record is from RefSeq and is a predicted model, not a curated record. The transcript has 5 exons. NCBI's taxonomy places the organism in Eukaryota, Metazoa, Chordata, Actinopteri, Cyprinodontiformes, Poeciliidae.
UUUAAAUGAUUAAUUUCAGUAUGUUUAAAAUUACAUCUCAGUGUAUACUUUAGGCUAAUAAAGUAUGCCUUUUUAGGUGGCUUAAUAAUCUUUUACUAUUUUGUUAAAAUGGAAAAGAAUAUAAAAACAUAACAGUCCUUAUAGGGGAAUUUGAUGUAAUGUUGUUUAACAAAGUAAAUAAUAUGUUCAUACCUCAAAAUAUCAAACAUUGACAGUUUUGAGGUGCCACAACAAAAAUAAUACUUCAAUAUGAAUCAAGCUCAGAACACUCAAAAGUAAAAAAUAAAAUAAGGCUUUUUAGCUAUUUUAAAAAAAUAUAUGUGUUAGUCCUUAACACUAAAUGUAAGGAGUUAUCUUCAGUUUUACAUCUCUCCAAAUAUAAUCUGUUGUUUUCAGUUUUUUAACUAAAACACGGAAGCUGACGGAAUCUGUGAUGUACAGAUGUACACAUCUGUACAUCACACAUGUACAGAUCACACAUGUACAGAUGUGUGAUGUAAGAUCUGUUAUUGAACGGCAUUAGCUCCUGUUCACACUCCAGACCAGAUGGUGGAGGUAUUGCACACUUUCAGUUUUUUUGAAAAACGCCAUAAGGAGAAGAAAAGCCAUGAAGCCAGAGAAGAUAACAGACGCUGUUCAAAUUUGCCAUUUUUACUCGCAUAAUAUUGCCUUAAAAGUAGAGAGGGCCUUGAUGAUAAGUAGUUUUGGUAAAUUCAAGCUGGUGACAUCAUACUCCGAGUUAGACGACAACACAACUAGACAAGAACCGGAUGGAAGUGAAAUAUGUGUCACCAAAGGAGCCCGAAGGGACGAAGGCUGCUAACGUGUUGCUAGUUGGUGCUCUUACGGUGAAACUAAGGGUUUACUCCCAAUAAACCUGUUCAUCAGUAAAGCCAAAUCCUUCAUUUGAAGGGGCGUCUGCUCUAGUAAGAGCUUAGACCUCCAGGAGUAAGAGCUUUACUUCCGGGAGAAGAGUUUCGCCUUCGGCAUUAGGAACGAGCUCAAUGAACGGGCCCUGUGAUGGACUGGUGACCGGUCCAAGGUGAACCCCGCCUCUCAUCUGAUGACUGCUGGAGACGGGCACCACCAGCCCCCCUCAUCGUGGCUGAGGGUCCUCAGGUUGAGGGUCCUGAGGGAUCAGUGUGCAGGACCAGCCACACUGAUCCUGCAAGGAUCAGCGUGUUCAGAUCAUGGAUGAGAAGCUUUUAAGGCAAAGAAGACACCCAGAAAUGUUUUUUCACCCCAGGCAGCAGGUCUCAAUCAUCAUCAGUUCUGAUGAUGUCACAUACAUAAGCGAAUCCACAACGGCUUAAAAUUGUUUCUGUAAAGCGCAGUGGUCCAGUGAAUAGGAAUCUUCUGUUGUUGAUCCUCACUGUUCUUAGGACGGAGAAAUGUCAGUUUGUCUGGAAUAAUACUGGAAUACUGUGACAUUGUAUUAAAAUAAUACUCUAUCCUUGGUGAAAUAUAUUUCACAUUUCCUCUAAAGUGUAUCUAUUGUUUUAUUGUGCUGAUUUUCAUAAGCAUGUUGUCUGUAAACUUUAAAUGUAUUGACAAUUUGUACAAUUCUGUGAUAGCAUAUUGGCAAUGUAUUCUUGAAAAAUGUGAGGAAGACUUUAUUUGACAGGGUGUGCAUAAGACUGACAUGAUACUGUCAUAAACAUAACACCUGUGAGGAACAUACUAAUAGGUGUUAUGAAGUGUUAUUCGGUAAAUAAUGACACUUCUAAUGAGAAGUUGCUUUAAAAGUUGGAUGACAGUGUUAUGUCAGACCUAUGCACACCUCAUCAAACAAAGUGUGACCAAAAUGGUAAUAUAUUGAAAGCACAAUGUAAUUAGUUUCACCUGUAAAGUGUGUUGUAAUUGAUCCUGAUGUGUUUGCAGUGCUGCAGUGUGUAUGAAGCAUGUAAUGUACAAAGUGGCAAAGCAGAAUAAUAAAAUACAUUAAGUAACUAAAAAGUGUACUUCAUCAGCAAUUAUAAUAAAACAAAAGUGUAAUUGUAGCAUACUGUAAUCACAUUACUAAUGCAUAAAAUAUGUAAUGCCGAUAUACUUAAAAUACAUUCUAAGUAUAUUUUAAAUGUAAUUGAAUAACAAAAUAGUACACUCAAAAUAUACUAAACAUGCAUGUUUAUAUUACAUAAAAAGCAAUACACUUAAAGUACACUAAGUUUAGCUUAAGUUGUCCAAAAACGUUUGUUGAAGUACACUUAGUACACUUUAAAUUGUGCUUUAGUACAAUUUAAAUACUACUAAAAUACACUAAGCCCAAAAUUAGUUGUUCCAAAAUGUCACACUUUAAGUUAACUAAUUCUAAGUGAACUUGAAGUAUACUCAUGAUUAAUCUGACUUAAAGUAUGCUAUGUAUGUAUGUUAAAAUUUAACAUACUUUGUAUAUACAUUUUUCACCAGGGUAGUUUUUCUCUAAAAACAAAAAACACUAUGUUUAAACUUUAAUAUUGUGGCAUGAUAUGAACAAACAAAAAUGAAUGACAGCACCAGAGAGCAGAAAAUCAUCACAUAGAAAAAGGGAUAGCCUGGCCAUUGCCUUCCUAUAAAAUUCCACUCUAUUCAAAUCUCUCUUUGCAACUCCAUCUGGGCUUGCCUUUCUCCCACUGAAUUGGCUUCCAUCAUUUCUACCAGGCCAAUCAGCGAACAGAAGGAGAAAUUGUGAACAAGGACAUUGAUUUUCUUUUCUGUGUUAGCAUACUCUCCCUUUAGUUGCAGCAAUUUCAGCUGAGGAGUUGAACAAAGCCGUUCAGUCCAUACUGACCAUGCAAGCAAAUAUUGGUACUCCUGUCUUAGCAGUGGAGCAAGCUAAGACAGCAUGCUCCACUGCUGGAGCAUGGUUGUUAAUAGUGCAGGAAAGUUCUGGCAAGCUUCAUAACAUUGAACUGGCACAUUACAUACAACAUGGACAAAUGUUAGUGAUUGUAUAAAAUUUAAAACUUCAAUAGAAGCCAUGGCUCAAGGAAGCAAUCUUUUCUCAACAAUCAAGAAUCCAGACUGUACAAAGCAAAUAGCAUAGAACAAGGCCUGGUUUUCACCAGGCAUGGAAAGCAGUGAUAGUUUAACUUUUUUCGGUAAAACAAACACAAUUAUUUGCAAGGUCACAUCAUCAGUCAGAGCCUGUCGGUCAUGAAAAUGAGCACACAACUCACUUAUGAUGCAGUUUAAUGUCUAAAAACUAGCUAAUAAGCGCUCUACUGCUCUGAAAGUAGCUUCAUUCUUGAUGAACUGACUGCAUAGACAAAGCUCUGGAGUCUGCGUUUUUACCUUAAACAUCUUAAAACAAAUGUUUGUGACAAAUAAAAGAGUGGUUUAAUUAGUUACCGCUGCUGGUGGCACAAUGCAUCGUGCAAUGUCUUGCUGGCCAAUUCCUGCUGUCACAUAUAAAUCAAUGUCCUAAAAAAGAAAUAAAUGUUUUUAUAUGGCAAACAAGUGAAGUUAUGUUGUGUGAUUUAAGUAGGUAAGUUUUAAGGUAUUUGGUCUCUAGACUUUUCCAUGGUAAACAAUAUUCUGAAACUUAAGUGUUAUUCUCAAAUUUACUUUUUCUGCCUACAUCAGCAUUGUUUUACAUACAUUAAUAAGCCAUGGUAUCAUCAGUGUAUAUUUUGUUUUUCCAACACAGAAAUCAGCUAUACAAAUGUUCAAAACUUUUUCUCCGGUUUGCAGGUUUGCUUGAGCAGAAAUGAAGUAACAUCUGGGGAUAUCCUGAAUGUUAAGCAUUUCCUCAAUUUAACUUAUUUUUUUAAAGUAGAGCAGAAUAUUUUUAUCAGUGUACUUCAAAUCACUGCUGGUCCAUUGGUGCUCUGGAACUCUGAAGACAAGGCUGUGUUGUGGAGUCAACUGUGAGCCUUGAGCUCUUGUGGAAUUAAACCACGCCUAAAACAUGCUGGAGGGUUUUUCAGCUGGCUGUGUAACAGCUUGGGAGUCCCUAAAAUAAGCAAAAGAAAACUAAUAAUGUAACAUGUUAGUCAAUGUUUUCUUUCAGCCAAAAGA